RNAcentral lists this transfer RNA (71 nucleotides) under Loxodonta africana (African savanna elephant). It matches the Rfam family "tRNA". Rfam says of the family: Transfer RNA (tRNA) molecules are approximately 80 nucleotides in length. Their secondary structure includes four short double-helical elements and three loops (D, anti-codon, and T loops). Further hydrogen bonds mediate the characteristic L-shaped molecular structure. tRNAs have two regions of fundamental functional importance: the anti-codon, which is responsible for specific mRNA codon recognition, and the 3' end, to which the tRNAs corresponding amino acid is attached (by aminoacyl-tRNA synthetases). tRNAs cope with the degeneracy of the genetic code in two manners: having more than one tRNA (with a specific anti-codon) for a particular amino acid; and 'wobble' base-pairing, i.e. permitting non-standard base-pairing at the 3rd anti-codon position. The record is from Rfam by way of RNAcentral. Lineage: Eukaryota; Metazoa; Chordata; Mammalia; Proboscidea; Elephantidae.
GCAAUGGUGGUUCAGUAGUAGAAUUUUCACCUUCCACGCUGGAAACCUAGGUUCAAUUCCCGGCCAACGCA